CGUGAUCCCACAAGAUUUGUCUGAGAGCGGCUUAAUGAAAAAAUCUGGAUCAUGAUCAAAGUUGGGAAAAAUGCGUAUCAUUUAACCAAACAUAGUCAAAAAUUGUUAAAUAAUACAAGGAAAAAAAUUACACCAGAAAAAUUUCUUAGAAUGGGUCCCUCUUUUAUUCAAAAUCGUACAUUAAGUGGUGCCAGUGACGAAUCAAUUAAAGAAGUGAUCAAAACUCAAAUUCCUGUUGGCUUAAAUUUGAAGUGUAGUUGUGGAUGCAAUGUCUGUUUCAAUCAACCCAAGGGUGAGCACGUGUUUUCAACAAACUCUUUUCACUUCCGGUGGUGAUUACGCAAUUAUUCCAUUUAGAAUUCAAAUCAAAAAUUUUUAACUUUGUAUAAAUUUUAAAAAAAUUUUGUUAUCUUUUAUAAUUCUUUAAGUGAUGAUAAAUCAUUUAGGGAAAAUUAUUAAAUUCUUUAUCCUUAUUUAAUGUCAUACAGCUACCAGUUUUCUUUUAUAUACGAAAUCCUCCA
This 521-nucleotide long non-coding RNA is filed under the name Androctonus crassicauda. Lineage: Eukaryota; Metazoa; Arthropoda; Arachnida; Scorpiones; Buthidae. The record is from RNAcentral.